RNAcentral lists this ribosomal RNA (410 nucleotides) under uncultured microorganism. RNAcentral's name for it is "bacterial SSU rRNA". It matches the Rfam family "Bacterial small subunit ribosomal RNA", at positions 509 to 917 of the family's 1533-position model. The record is from RNAcentral.
CAGCAGCCACGGUAAUACGUAGGGGGCGAGCGUUGUCCGGAAUUAUUGGGCGUAAAGCGCGCGCAGGCGGUCCUUUAAGUCUGAUGUGAAAGCCCACGGCUCAACCGUGGAGGGUCAUUGGAAACUGGGGGACUUGAGUGCAGGAGAGGAGAGCGGAAUUCCACGUGUAGCGGUGAAAUGCGUAGAGAUGUGGAGGAACACCAGUGGCGAAGGCGGCUCUCUGGCCUGUAACUGACGCUGAGGCGCGAAAGCGUGGGGAGCAAACAGGAUUAGAUACCCUGGUAGUCCACGCCGUAAACGAUGAGUGCUAAGUGUUAGAGGGGUCACACCCUUUAGUGCUGCAGCUAACGCGAUAAGCACUCCGCCUGGGGAGUACGGCCGCAAGGCUGAAACUUAAAGGAAUUGGCGGG